RNAcentral lists this ribosomal RNA (253 nucleotides) under uncultured bacterium. RNAcentral describes it as "partial 16S ribosomal RNA". It matches the Rfam family "Bacterial small subunit ribosomal RNA", at positions 524 to 776 of the family's 1533-position model. The record is from RNAcentral.
UACGGAGGGUGCAAGCGUUGAUCGGAAUCACUGGGCUUAAAGAGCGUGUAGGCGGAGUGCCAUGUGCUUUGUGAAAUCCCUCAGCUCAACUGAGGAAUUGCUGAGCAAACGGGUACUCUUGAGGCAGGUAGAGGUGAGCGGAACGACUGGUGGAGCGGUGAAAUGCGUAGAUAUCAGUUGGAACGCCGGUGGCGAAAGCGGCUCACUGGGCCUGUCCUGACGCUGAGACGCGAAAGCGUGGGUAGCAAACAGG